AACCAGCACCUCAAGUGGUCAGGAGGAUUAUUGGGCCUAAAGCAUCCGUAGCCGGCUCUGUAAGUUUUCGGUUAAAUCUAUAUGCUCAACAUAUAGGCUGCCGAAAAUACUGCACAGCUAGGGAGUGGGAGAGGUAGACGGUACUCAAUAGGAAGGGGUAAAAUCCUUUGAUCUAUUGAUGACCACCUGUGGCGAAGGCGGUCUACCAGAACACGUUCGACGGUGAGGGAUGAAAGCUGGGGGAGCAAACCGGAUUAGAUACCCGGGUAGUCCCAGCUGUAAACGAUGCAGACUCGAUGAUGCAUUGGCAUAUAGCCAGUGCAGUGUCGCAGGGAAGCCGUUAAGUCUGCCGCCUGGGAAGUACGUACGCAAGUAUGAAACUUAAAGGAAUUGGCGGGGGAGCACCACAAGGGGUGAAGCCUGCGGUUCAAUUGGAGUCAACGCCAGAAAUCUUACCCGGAGAGACAGCAGAAUGAAGGUCAGGCUGAAGACCUUACCAGACAAGCUGAGAGGUGGUGCAUGGCCGUCGCCAGCUCGUGCCGUGAGAUGUCCUGUUAAGUCAGGUAACGAGCGAGAUCCUCGCCACUAGUUGCUAUCAUUAUUCUCAGGAAUAGUGGGGCGAAUUAGUGGGACUGCCGUUGUUAAAACGGAGGAAGGAAGGGGCUACGGCAGGUCAGUAUGCCCCGAAACUCUGGGGCCACACGCGGGCUGCAAUGGUAGCGACAAUGAGUUCCAAAAUCGAAAGAUAGAGGUAAUCCCUAAACGCUACCACAGUUGUGAUUGAGGGCUGCAACUCGCCCUCAUGAACAUGGAAUCCCUAGUAACCGCGUGUCAUUAUCGCGCAGUGAAUACGUCCCUGCUCCUUGCACACACCGCCCGUCGUUUCAUCGAAGUUUGCUUUUAGCGAGGUGAUGUUUAAUUGACAUUAU
This 929-nucleotide ribosomal RNA is filed under the name marine metagenome. RNAcentral's name for it is "bacterial SSU rRNA". It matches the Rfam family "Archaeal small subunit ribosomal RNA", at positions 474 to 1403 of the family's 1478-position model. The record is from RNAcentral.